Molecule: long non-coding RNA, 1270 nt
Filed under: Homo sapiens (human)
Lineage: Eukaryota; Metazoa; Chordata; Mammalia; Primates; Hominidae
Description: long intergenic non-protein coding RNA 3007
Source: RNAcentral
AGUCCAUAAAAGCACGGUUAGGAGCAAACAGCUUUUCAAUUUCCCUGUGUCCUUUCCUAUGGCUGUGGUUGGAGAGACGUAGAGAGAGGCUGCUGCGAAGUCACAAUCCAGCCACACGGCAUUGAUCCUGUCAUGGCUGGUGUGGUUGUGUCCACACGUGACCUGAACAUCCUUCCCACUCAGUACCAAAUACAGUCAAUUCUGUGGCUUGAUGGUGCGUGGACAUAACAUUCAGAUAUCGCCCAUGAUGAGGAAACAGAAGCUGGGAUAUGUGAGUAAACAUUUCCAAGGUCCUGCAGCUAAUCAAUGGUUGACAACUUCUUUCCUCUGCCUAUGUUGCCAUCCAUGUCAUGGUUUGUGUCAAGACUCUAGGAGAAGUCUACCAUCAGCACCACAGCUACUGUGCACAAAUCCAGAAUGCCAGACUGAAGUCAGAAGGAAAGAGAUGAUGCAGCUCAUUGCUGAUGCUGAGAUCCAACGUCCAGUGCCUGAGUACCCCUGGAUUCUGAGCACUAGGGGCUGGACUGUGGAGACCAUCAGUUCAUAACAUCCUGUCCCUGCUCCCUGCUGUAGAUGACUGAGACCAGAAAGAAGAUUGGAAAAAUCUCCCAUGACCAAGGAAAAUUGUGAAAAAUAUUUCUGAUAUUUUGUCUAUGCAUUUUAUUUUUGAGGGUGUUUUUUAUAUUAGUGUGACUAUUUUGUAUUUCCUACCCUGUUGUAAACUUUUUAAAAAUUGCUCUUACAGUUAUUACUAAGUAUAUGAUUUAAAAUCCCUAAUUAGGGUUCUUAAACAAGGGAGAAGCACUCUCAUACCCCUAGAACAAGAUGAACAAAAGAAGGAGGAAAAAUCUUGACCUCCGUAAGAUCCAGGAUGGCACGUGCAAGGCACUGACACAGCAUCUGCCGGCAUCACUGACUCUCCUGGACCCCAGAAGCCCAGUUCCCCAGGCUCUGAAACCCUGCAGCAAUGAAAAGGAAGCACAGGCAAACCAUAAGGAAGAUAAUUUUUCUACUAAAAAAUAAAUAGAAAUGCAUCCUUAGAGGCAGGUUUCAUGAGGACACAGAGAAUCCGGUUUUGUGUGUGCCUGAUUUCGUUUUUCUGUCAAAGAGAUACAAAACAAUCAACUGAGUUAUCUUGAACUUACAAAGAUUAAAAAUAAUCAAUUCCUGUUACUAUUUUCAAUUUUUCCCCCAUUUUACUUCUUUAGGUAUGAAGAAAUGUAGCCUAUUAAAACCUGGAUUAAUAAAAACCUUUCAUUAACUUUUAGAA